AACAUCGCGCACCUGCGGGAACCUGCGGAGGGAUCAUUAACGAGCCCGCGGCGGCCACCGGGAGCGAUCCCGGCCGGCCCGCCGCGAAACGGCCCCCAUCCGUGUCUACCCUACCUGUUGCUUCGGCGGACCGGCCCGACCCGUCCGGGCGGCCGACCCGGACGUCUUCCGGGUCCGCCGGAGACCACACCUAGAACAGUGAACUAUUUCCUAGGACCUGUCUGAGAUAGCGGACCGCCU
RNAcentral lists this unclassified non-coding RNA (240 nucleotides) under soil metagenome. Its description in RNAcentral is "partial contains 5.8S ribosomal RNA, internal transcribed spacer 2, and large subunit ribosomal RNA". The record is from RNAcentral.